CACCGGCGGCCCGAGUGGUAACCGCUUUUAUUGGGUCUAAAGGGUCUGUAGCCGGCCAAGUAAGUCCUUUGGGAAAUCUGGUAGCUCAACUAUCAGGCUGCCAGGGGAUACUGCUUGGCUUGGGACCGGGAGAGGUGAGAGGUACCUCGGGGGUAGGGGUGAAAUCUUGUGAUCCUCGAGGGACCACCAGUGGCGAAGGCGUCUCACCAGAACGGGUCCGACGGUAAGGGACGAAAGCUAGGGGCACGAACCGGAUUAGAUACCCGGGUAUCCUAGCCGUAAACGAUGCUCGCUAGGUGUCAGUCACGGUGCGACCGUGAUUGGUGCCGUAGGGAAGCCGUGAAGCGAGCCACCUGGGAAGUAUGGCCGCAAGGCUGAAACUUAAGGAAUUGGCGGGGGAGCACUACAACGGGUGGAGCCUGCGGUUC
This 428-nucleotide ribosomal RNA is filed under the name uncultured archaeon. RNAcentral's name for it is "bacterial SSU rRNA". It matches the Rfam family "Archaeal small subunit ribosomal RNA", at positions 474 to 903 of the family's 1478-position model. The record is from RNAcentral.